CCAGGAUAAAUGGACAGGCUCUCCAGUUUCCUGUUUUCUUCUUGUUAGCAGGUUUAUUGCGAUAAUCUACUGUCCCAUCUUUCGUACAGUUAUCUUCAUCUUCUUUGAUGGCAAGUGGUUUCAUGCUCGAUUUUGUAUCUUGCAUUGUUUUGUGAUUUCUGUAAUGGCCAAGAAGAAACACGAAAAAACCCCAACAGAAUUAACUUCNNNNNNNNNAACGUACCAAACACACAGUCUAUAGUAGAAGAGGGUACGUACUGAAGUUCAUCUGUGUGAUCGAGCUUGCGGCUGCCUACUAUAACGGAUUCUGCAUUGGAAGUCUCGUAUAGAAGAGACUUGUCCUCAGGUACCAUAACUCGAGUUUUUCUCAGUGUGGCUACCACCACCUUGCAGAGACGCGUAAGAGGGCUGCCACCGGGUUUCUGGUACCGAAAAAGUCGAGUACCUGAAAAGAAAAAGGCCACAGCUAUUGCCAUAGCCACAGCAGGAAUACCGAAUCCCCAUCCCCAACCAAUGUUGACUUGUAUCCAAACAAUCACAGAGGAGGCAAUAAGUGCACCAAUAUUGAUUGAAAAAUAGAACCAAUUGAAGAAAUAACUUUUGUGCUUCUUCUCAGCCUCAUCAGUGUCAUCAAAUUGAUCUGCACCGUAUGAUGAGACACAUGGCUUAAUCCCACCGGUUCCGAGUGCUAUCAGAUAGAGUGCAAGAAAACAGACUGAUGUUUGAGCAUGUGUUGCAGUACAGACAUCUUUCUUUAAACAAGUUGGCCUCAGGCCGGAUACUGUUGCUGAUAGUGUCAAUAGUGUCAUUCCCUGUUGAUAGAAUUUAGCAAUGGGUAAAUAGUUGACAAGACCUAGGGAUGAGAAGUGCUAUCUUUCUAAAGAUUUAAGCUUUUAGACGAGGCGAUCAAAUAUAACAACAACAAAUUAAGCCCGAUUUUCAGUAACUUCACGGUUCAUUUUCUUUCCAAUUUGUUCAGUUCGUCACUACCUCUACUAAAAGAAACAGAUAGUUGAACUUACGAUAACAUAGAUGGUCGAAAAGCUGGCAAUAGUCCAAUAUCUUCCUAAAUAUGCAUCAGCAAGAAAAGCUCCAAGUAAUGGCAUAACAUAGCAAGUACCCGACCAAUUCGACAGAUUUUUCGAAGCAGUAACACUGUGUUGAUUGAGUUGAUUUGUGAAAUAAAGAAGCAAAUUGGAGCUCAUUCCAUAGUAUGCUAAUCUUUCACAACAUUCAUUUCCUGCAGAAAAAUAUUCAAUACUCAGUAAGCAGUGUUAUUACCAGAAAUGACUUAAUUUGGAAGAAUUAAGAAUGAAAAUAACUAACCCAGGAUAAAUGGACAGGCUCUCCAGUUUCCUGUUUUCUUCUUGUUAGCAGGUUUAUUGCGAUAAUCUACUGUCCCAUCUUUCGUACAGUUAUCUUCAUCUUCUUUGAUGGCAAGUGGUUUCAUGCUCGAUUUUGUAUCUUGCAUUGUUUUGUGAUUUCUGUAAUGGCCAAGAAGAAACACGAAAAAACCCCAACAGAAUUAACUUCAAUUUUGAGGUACUUCGAUAUAAUCCAUAUUUUCUCUAUGUUGUAAUCCUGGAAAUCAGAAUUUAAAUGUUGUGAAACUUCAACAAGAUGGUCAUAUUGCAUGGCAUGUUUAGUACAUAUCCACUAGAUAUGGCUGGACUUAAUAACUGAAAUUUGCCUCAUUUGAUAGUGUCGAGUCGUUCCAUUCAGUAUACCAACACGUCCUAAGAAC
This 1744-nucleotide long non-coding RNA is filed under the name Olea europaea (common olive). Its description in RNAcentral is "long non-coding RNA (OEUR_LNC005307)". Lineage: Eukaryota; Viridiplantae; Streptophyta; Magnoliopsida; Lamiales; Oleaceae. The record is from RNAcentral.